GACGAACGCUGGCGGCGUGCUUAACACAUGCAAGUCGAGCGGUAAGGCCCUUUCGGGGGUACGACGAGCGGCGAACGGGUGAGUAACACGUGGGUGACCUGCCCUCAGCUCUGGGAUAAGCCUGGGAAACGUGGGUCUAAUACUGGAUAUGACUCCACGGUGCAUGUCGUGGGGUGGAAAGCCUUGUGCGGCUGAGGAUGGGCCCGCGGCCUAUCAGCUUGUU
Molecule: ribosomal RNA, 223 nt
Filed under: uncultured bacterium
Lineage: Bacteria
Description: partial 16S ribosomal RNA
Rfam family: Bacterial small subunit ribosomal RNA
Source: RNAcentral